RNAcentral lists this ribosomal RNA (253 nucleotides) under uncultured bacterium. RNAcentral describes it as "partial 16S ribosomal RNA". It matches the Rfam family "Bacterial small subunit ribosomal RNA", at positions 524 to 776 of the family's 1533-position model. The record is from RNAcentral.
UACGGAGGAUGCAAGCGUUAUCCGGAAUGAUUGGGCGUAAAGCGUCCGCAGGUGGCAAUGUAAGUCUGCUGUUAAAGAGUCUAGCUCAACUAGAUAAAAGCAGUGGAAACUACAUAGCUAGAGUACGUUCGGGGCAGAGGGAAUUCCUGGUGUAGCGGUGAAAUGCGUAGAGAUCAGGAAGAACACCAGUGGCGAAGGCGCUCUGCUAGGCCGUAACUGACACUGAGGGACGAAAGCUAGGGGAGCGAACGGG